CAUCCAUGGAUUCAACCAAUCCCAGACUGAAAAUACUAGUUUGGUAGGAUCCCGUCUGAUCUCGGAAGCUAAGCAGGGUUGGGCCUGGUUAGUACUUGGACGGGAGACUACCUAGGAAGACCAGGU
Pteropus vampyrus (large flying fox) is the source of this 126-nucleotide ribosomal RNA. The record is from Ensembl. NCBI's taxonomy places the organism in Eukaryota, Metazoa, Chordata, Mammalia, Chiroptera, Pteropodidae.